GACGAACCGAGCGAACGUUGUUCGGAAUCACUGGGCUUAAAGGGCGCGUAGGCGGAUUCUCAAGUCCGGGGUGAAAUCCUCCAGCUCAACUGGAGAACUGCCUCGGAUACUGGGUGUCUCGAGGGUGGUAGGGGUAUGCGGAACUAUCGGUGGAGCGGUGAAAUGCGUUGAUAUCGAUAGGAACUCCGGUGGCGAAGGCGGCAUACUGGACCACAUCUGACGCUUAGGCGCGAAAGCCAGGGGAGCGAA
Molecule: ribosomal RNA, 249 nt
Filed under: uncultured bacterium
Lineage: Bacteria
Description: partial 16S ribosomal RNA
Rfam family: Bacterial small subunit ribosomal RNA
Source: RNAcentral